RNAcentral lists this ribosomal RNA (174 nucleotides) under Kurthia zopfii. The record is from RNAcentral. Lineage: Bacteria; Bacillati; Bacillota; Bacilli; Caryophanales; Caryophanaceae.
AAAAAUUAUCAAUGAACCGUUUAUCCAGUUUUGAAAGAACAAACUUCUUUCAAAGAAGUGUAGUGAUGAUGGCAAAGAGGUCACACCCGUUCCCAUGUCGAACACGGAAGUUAAGCUCUUUAGCGCCGAUGGUAGUUGGAGGUUUCCUCCUGUGAGAGUAGGACAUUGCUACGC